AUUCAAUUCCAGGAAUGUAUGGCUAACUGUGAUCCUCGUGAAAUCGCCUAUGGUAGUUGUGAAAUUGUUGAUAGUUGAUAUUCAUGUGAAAAUCAUUGUGAAGCUUUCGUGUUGUACAAAUUGUGUGGUAGUACCUUGUGGUGAAUGUUGUGGAACUUGUAAUUGGAACAAUGGAAACGGAAACAAUGUGGAACAAUGGAAAAAUGGAAACAAUGUGGAACACUUGAAAUGGAAAU
RNAcentral lists this long non-coding RNA (236 nucleotides) under Nicotiana benthamiana. RNAcentral's name for it is "long non-coding RNA (NBEN_LNC022330)". The record is from RNAcentral. Lineage: Eukaryota; Viridiplantae; Streptophyta; Magnoliopsida; Solanales; Solanaceae.